UCAAGAAUAUUCCUCAAUGGGCGAAAGCCUGAAGGAGCGACGCCGCGUGCAGGAUGAAGCUAUUCGUAGUGUAAACUGCUUUUCCCAGGGAAGAAACAAUGACGGUACCUGGGGAAUAAGGGGUUGCUAAACUCGUGCCAGCAGCAGCGGUAAUACGAGUACCCCGAGCGUUAUCCGGAAUUACUGGGCGUAAAGCGUGCGUAGGCGGUUUAGUGCAUCUCCCGUUAAAUCAUCAGGCUUAACCUGGUGGCCGCGGGAGAGAUGGCUAGACUUGAGGCCGGAAAAGGCAAGUGGAAUUGCUGGUGUAGGGGUUAAAUCCGUUAAUAUCAGCAGGAACACCAAAAGCGAAAGCAACUUGCUAGUACGGUUCUGACGCUGAGGCACGAAAGCGUGGGGAGCG
Molecule: ribosomal RNA, 400 nt
Filed under: uncultured bacterium
Lineage: Bacteria
Description: partial 16S ribosomal RNA
Rfam family: Bacterial small subunit ribosomal RNA
Source: RNAcentral